RNAcentral lists this ribosomal RNA (250 nucleotides) under uncultured prokaryote. Its description in RNAcentral is "partial 16S ribosomal RNA". It matches the Rfam family "Bacterial small subunit ribosomal RNA", at positions 524 to 775 of the family's 1533-position model. The record is from RNAcentral.
UACAGAGGGUGCAAGCGUUGUUCGGAAUUACUGGGCGUAAAGGGCGUGUAGGCGGUUUGAUAAGUCAGAUGUUAAAGACCCGGGCUUAACCCGGGGGCUGCGUUUGAAACUGUUAGACUAGAGCAGGAGGGGAGAAUGGAAUUUCCGGUGUAGAGGUAAAAUUCGUAGAUAUCGGAAGGAACACCAGAGGCGAAGGCGAUUCUCUGGACUGCAACUGACGCUGAGGCGCGAAAGCGUGGGGAGUAAACAG